AAAGAACUUUGAUCUAAACUUUUAUCUUUAACCAACUCUUACAGACAUGCAGCUCAUAAAACAGGAGCAGAAAAAUUUCAUCCCUUUGGGUUACGAUCAGAAUUCCUUCUAAACUAAUAAUAUCUGCAAAUUGAUAGCUAUAACUAUCAAAAUUCCUGCACUUUCCUACUUAAAUGCCCCAAUAUCUCAUAAAUUUCCUCAUUUUGCUCAUGUGAUCUGUCUCCUGAUACAAAACAAUAACUCUUCCCCUUUUCCUCAAUAUAGCUCCAACCUGGUGUCUUCCUCAGCUCCUUCUCAUGCAUAAUUUUUCUAACUUCUUCAACUACAUCCCACUUUCCAACACAAGCUUGUAUAUUACUCAGCACUGUAUGAUAUCCAACAUUAUCAGGUUCCACUUCCAAAAGCCUUUGUGCUGCAAAUUCCCCAAUUUUCCUGUCUCCAUGAACUCUACAGGAAGCAAGAAGAGCUCCCCAUAUUCUACUAUCGGCAACAACCACCAUUCUUACAAUCAUAGCUAAUGCCUCUUUGAGCUUUCCAGAUCGACCUAAGAGGUCCACCAUGCAAGUGUAAUGGUCUAAAUCAGGUUCAAUGCCAAGUAUGCAUUUCAUAGAAAAGAACAGAUCACAGCCUUCUCUGAUCAGACCGGAGUGGCCACAUGCAGAUAACAAGCCUAAGAAGGUCACUCUGUUCGGUAUUAUUCUUUCCACCAUCAUCUGAGAGAAAAGUUGUAGGGCUUCAAUAGCCAGCCCGUGGAUUCCAUAACCUUCAAUCAUUGAUGUCCAUGUUACCUUAUCUUUUGCGGACAUUCUGUCAAAACAAACUCUUGCUAAAGAAAUGCUUCCACAUCUUAUAUACAUGUUGAGGACAGAGGUUCCCAAUUGUAUAUUUUCUUCCUCAGGUGUGUAAAACAAGCUCCUGAUGAGGUAGCCAUGGAUUUCUUUACCCAAUUGUAAUGCACCCAGAUGACUGCAUGCAUCAACAAGGCUUCCUAAAAUCUCAGCAGGGAGUUGAACACCUGCAGAUUUCAUUUGCCGGAACAAAUUAAUGGCAUCAUCAAAAUAUCCAUUUUGAAUGUACCCUGACAUCAUCGCAUUCCAAGUAAUGCUGCUUCUACAAGGGAUUGAUUCAAACAACUGAACUGAAUUUCUCAAUUUACCACACUUCGCAUAAAAGUCCAUGAGUGAAGCGAGCAAAAUGACAUCACAUAACCCAGAUUUUAUGGAAAAUGAGUGGAGCUUUUCACCUUCCACCAGAUUCCCAAUCUUUGCAAACCCUGAUAUAAGUAAAGUUAAAGUCUCCCUGCUAAGUGCUACUUCACUGUACAUUUUAUUACACCUCUCAGCCAGUUGUUCAACAUCUCCUCUCAAAGAAUAGAAGCUAAUCAAAGUAUUCCAAGAAAUAACAUCUCUCUUAUCAAUUUCAAUGAAAAAAGUUUCGACUUCUUUGACACAACCCAAUUUACUGUACAUUCUCAAAAUUGAAUUUUGCACAGACCCAUCAACUAAUAGCCCAUUCUUGAUGAUAUAACAGUGAAGUUGCCUCCCCUCAAUCAAAACAUCAAAUGCAUAACACCCCUGCAACAUAACAAUUAAAGUCACAGAAUUUGGUUCCAGUUCCAGCCUCAUUUUAUUGAACAAUUCAAAAGCAGCAGAAACAUUUCCUUCAAAAACAUCCCCAGAAAUCAUGGAUGUCCAAGAAACCAAAUCCCUAUGCAGCAUCUCAUCAAACACUUUUCGAGCAUACCAGACGCGUCCAUAUUUCGCAUAGACCUCAAUCAUUGUAUUACAAAAAUAAAGAUCGAAUCCAAAACCCAAUUUUAUUGAAGCAGAAUGAACCAUUUGUCCCAACACUACCCUGCUCUUAAGAGACAAAACAGCUCUGUUUAUUAUAGGAAGCGUGAAAGUGUCGUGUUCAACACCCAAUUCUCUCAUCUUCUUAUACAAGAGCAAAGCCUCAUUAGAAAGGCCAAAAUUAACGUGGGAUUUCAUUAUCAAAUUCCAAGUUAGAGUACUAGGCUCAAGUACGGAAUUGAACACAGAAAUGGCACUUUCAAGGUCAUUAAAGUUCGAGUAUAAAGACAUGAGCUUUGAAGCAGAGAAGACAGGAUCAACGAAACCAGCGGAGACUAUAACAGAAGCAUGGAUUUGUUUGAGAGUUUUGAGAUCUUUACAGGAAUGCAGAAGCCAAGACGAAGAAGAAGAAGAAGAAAAUAGCCGAUGGGUUUCUAUUUUUAGGUGAUGGGGGUGAAGUAGAAGAGGAAAUUCAGAGAUGAGAGGAGACCAAGCGAAACGGAAAACGCCAUGUAAAUGAGAAGGAAUAGUGGAGCUUGAUAGGAAAAUAUCUGGUAAUUGCAAAGCUUUCUGAAUAAUAAUGGCCUAGAAAAACGAUGAGACUUUUGCGGUCGUUUUAAGCCAAAAUGCGAGUCUGAACAGAAUUAUAGAAGCCAAGAGUUUCAAA
RNAcentral lists this unclassified non-coding RNA (2457 nucleotides) under Hevea brasiliensis (rubber tree). Lineage: Eukaryota; Viridiplantae; Streptophyta; Magnoliopsida; Malpighiales; Euphorbiaceae. The record is from RNAcentral.